RNAcentral lists this transfer RNA (91 nucleotides) under bacterium. Its description in RNAcentral is "tRNA-Ser". It matches the Rfam family "tRNA". Rfam says of the family: Transfer RNA (tRNA) molecules are approximately 80 nucleotides in length. RNAcentral also lists the same sequence under 2 other names. The record is from RNAcentral.
GGAGAGAUGGCUGAGUGGUCGAAAGCGCUCCCCUGCUAAGGGAGUAUACGUUAAGAGCGUAUCCAGGGUUCGAAUCCCUGUCUCUCCGCCA